Non-coding RNA from Meleagris gallopavo (turkey), 939 nucleotides. Lineage: Eukaryota; Metazoa; Chordata; Aves; Galliformes; Phasianidae. The record is from RefSeq and is a predicted model, not a curated record.
GUAAGCAUAUACAUUUAAAUGGGUGGUUGUUCUUCACUUUCUAGAAAGAAAUCCUCAGAAUUUAUUGCUGCUGCUGCUGCUAAAUUUAUUCCUGAAAAUCUGUUGAAAGGAUGUGUGGAAGGAAUCUUAUUUAUUGAGUGGGCAGUACGAAAAGGGAUUGAUCAAAUGCCUGCUGCAGUCAUUGGGAAUCUUCUGCCAGUUCUGAUGGACUUUGGAACAGGCUUGAAACUAUUUACAGCUUUUCAGUCAUGCUUAUUUACAAUGCAGGGUGCUUAUAGUUAAUUGUAUGGUUUUCAAGCCUUUUGGAUUGCUGACUGAGGAUAUUGCCUAUAAACAUGACUUAAUAACAAAGCGUAAGAAGGGUGGAAGCUACUUGCUCUGAAAGACCUACCUCUGGCAAUAUUUGAAAGAACAGAUGCUCUCCUAUUGAAAACAUGAAUUUCUAUGCUGUGCUUUGUCUGCUUCAACAACUUCUUAUUGGUGAACCCAUGAAAAAUGAAUCUAUGUCAUGGAUCAUCUACCAUUUGCAUUUCAGAAUAUGGCUUAGAUCUGAUGAAAUGGAUUCCUCACUUAUUGUGGUGGCUGUACCUGGCUAUACUCUAUCUCCUUGCUUGCUUGUAGUGUGUGGGAAUGCUAGAUUUGCUCUGAACUCCCCCUUUUUCAUACACCUAUAAGUUACACAUGUGACUUCAGGAAGUUCUACAUGAAAUUCUUCCAUGCGUGACAGAAAUGAUAAAGCUUCCUUAUCUCAUUGUGGUAUUUUGUAGAUAAACUUGUAUGUGGCUCGAUGGUGCUACCAUCAAAUGCUGCUGUCAUUAAAGUAAUCUGGAAAUGCUCAUUCAUGGUUCAACUCUCUCAUGUUUCUCUGUAUGAAAGCCUUUUGAUGAAAGCAUUCAGAAAGCAAUCCUUGUAAAUAUCCACUUGAAUGUCUGGGUUAAA